This 301-nucleotide ribosomal RNA is filed under the name uncultured bacterium. RNAcentral describes it as "partial 16S ribosomal RNA". It matches the Rfam family "Bacterial small subunit ribosomal RNA", at positions 509 to 809 of the family's 1533-position model. The record is from RNAcentral.
CAGUCGCCGCGGUAAUACGUAGGGCGCAAGCGUUGUCCGGAAUUAUUGGGCGUAAAGAGCUCGUAGGCGGUCUGUCGCGUCUGGUGUGAAAUCCCGAGGCUCAACCUCGGGCUUGCAUCGGGUACGGGCAGACUAGAGUGCGGUAGGGGAGACUGGAAUUCCUGGUGUAGCGGUGGAAUGCGCAGAUAUCAGGAGGAACACCGAUGGCGAAGGCAGGUCUCUGGGCCGCAACUGACGCUGAGGAGCGAAAGCAUGGGGAGCGAACAGGAUUAGAUACCCCCGUAGUCCCUGUCUCUUAUAA